GGUUUAAUUUUUUUUUUCCCCUAAUUAUCCAAGAAACUGCUUCAAGUCUGCAUCACCUUUAACAACUCCGCAAAUCUUUUAAAGAUAUAAUACACUUAAUGUCAGGAUCUCAAAGAGCAUUAUAAGUGCUAAUGAAGCAGUGAUCCCUCAAAUUCACUUGCAGCUCUGAAAGCUCUCAAUGAAGAGGAAACUUCUACUGUUCUGUCCACAUCUUCAAGGAGCUGCCUGUUCACCCAGUGCCACCCUUGUAUAUGUAGCCUCCAACAACCAGUCCAGCCCACCAGUCCGCUGGGGUGAGGAGCACAAGCUCAGCCUUGAAGAACCAUGUUAUCUGAUGGGGAUGGUGCAAGGACACAGGCAGUAAGAUUGCUCUCCUACACUAAGUGACUGAUUCACCUUAUGAC
Long non-coding RNA from Tyto alba (common barn owl), 404 nucleotides. RefSeq lists it as uncharacterized. NCBI's taxonomy places the organism in Eukaryota, Metazoa, Chordata, Aves, Strigiformes, Tytonidae. The transcript has 3 exons. The record is from RefSeq and is a predicted model, not a curated record.